Molecule: ribosomal RNA, 272 nt
Filed under: uncultured bacterium
Lineage: Bacteria
Description: partial 16S ribosomal RNA
Rfam family: Bacterial small subunit ribosomal RNA
Source: RNAcentral
UACGUAGGUGGCAAGCGUUGUCCGGAUUUACUGGGCGUAAAGAGCGCGCAGGCGGUCGAUUAAGUCGGAUGUGAAAUCCCCUGGCUCAACUGGGGGGCGGUCAUUCGAUACUGCUCGACUUGAAGGCAGGAGAGGGAAGCGGAAUUCCCGGUGUAGUGGUGAAAUGCGUAGAUAUCGGGAGGAACACCAGUGGCGAAGGCGGCUUCCUGGCCUGUUCUUGACGCUGAGGCGCGAAAGCCAGGGGAGCAAACGGGAUUAGAUACCCUUGUAGU